CAGCAGCGCGGUAAUACGUAGGUGGCAAGCGUUGUCCGGAAUUAUUGGGCGUAAAGGACUCGCAGGCGGUUUCUUAAGUUUGAUGUGAAAGCCCCCGGCUCAACCGGGGAGGGUCAUUGGAAACUGGGAAACUUGAGUGCAGAAGAGGAGAGUGGAAUUCCACGUGUAGCGGUGAAAUGCGUAGAGAUGUGGAGGAACACCAGUGGCGAAGGCGACUCUCUGGUCUGUAACUGACGCUGAGGAGCGAAAGCGUGGGGAGCGAACAGGAUUAGAUACCCCAGUAGUCCCUGUCUCUUAACAC
RNAcentral lists this ribosomal RNA (301 nucleotides) under uncultured bacterium. Its description in RNAcentral is "partial 16S ribosomal RNA". It matches the Rfam family "Bacterial small subunit ribosomal RNA", at positions 509 to 809 of the family's 1533-position model. The record is from RNAcentral.